CACGAAAGUGUGACGGGGCCAUCCCGAGUGCCAUCCGCUGAGGAUGGCUUUUCCCCAGUGUAUAAAGCUGGGGGAAUAAGGAGAGGGCAAGCCUGGUGUCAGCCGCCGCGGUAAUACCAGCUCUCCGAGUGGUGGGGAUGCUUAUUGGGCCUAAAGCAUUCGUAGCCUGCUUGGCAAGUCCUCCGUUAAAUCCAACGAUUCAAUCGUUGGGCUGCGGGGGAUACUGUCCGGCUAGGGGGCGGGAGAGGCCGACGGUAUCCUCGGGGUAGGGGUGAAAUCCUAUAAUCCCGGGAGGACCACCAGUGGCGAAGGCUGUCGGCUAGAACGCGCUCGACGGUGAGGGAUGAAAGCUGGGGGAGCGAACCGGAUUAGAUACCCGGGUAGUCCCAGCUGUAAACGAUGCAGGCUAGGUGUUGGCGCGGCUACGUGCCGCUCCAGUGCCGCAGGGAAGCCAUUAAGCCCGCCGCCUGGGGAGUACGGCACGAAAGUGCACGAAAGUGCACGAAAGUGCACGAAAGUG
This 520-nucleotide ribosomal RNA is filed under the name uncultured Thermoproteales archaeon. RNAcentral describes it as "bacterial SSU rRNA". It matches the Rfam family "Archaeal small subunit ribosomal RNA", at positions 358 to 878 of the family's 1478-position model. Lineage: Archaea; Thermoproteati; Thermoproteota; Thermoprotei; Thermoproteales. The record is from RNAcentral.